UACGAAGGGGGCUAGCGUUGCGCGGAAUCACUGGGCGUAAAGGGUGCGUAGGCGGGUCUUUAAGUCAGGGGUGAAAUCCUGGAGCUCAACUCCAGAACUGCCUUUGAUACUGAGGAUCUUGAGUUCGGGAGAGGUGAGUGGAACUGCGAGUGUAGAGGUGAAAUGCGCAGAUAUCAGGGAGAACACCCGUGGCUAAGGCGGUUCUCUGGGACGGUACUGACGCUGAGACGCGAAAGCGUGGGGAGCGAACAGG
RNAcentral lists this ribosomal RNA (253 nucleotides) under uncultured bacterium. RNAcentral's name for it is "partial 16S ribosomal RNA". It matches the Rfam family "Bacterial small subunit ribosomal RNA", at positions 524 to 776 of the family's 1533-position model. The record is from RNAcentral.